CCUACGGGAGGCAGCAGUGGGGAAUAUUGGACAAUGGGCGAAAGCCUGAUCCAGCAAUGCCGCGUGAGUGAUGAAGGCCUUCGGGCCGUAAAGCUCUUUUACCAGGGAUGAUAAUGACAGUACCUGGAGAAUAAGCUCCGGCUAACUCCGUGCCAGCAGCCGCGGUAAUACGGAGGGAGCUAGCGUUGUUCGGAAUUACUGGGCGUAAAGAGUACGUAGGCGGUUAUUCAAGUCAGAGGUGAAAGCCCGGGGCUCAACCCCGGAACUGCCUUUGAAACUAGAUAGCUAGAGUCUUGGAGAGGUUAGUGGAAUUCCGAGUGUAGAGGUGAAAUUCGUAGAUAUUCGGAAGAACACCAGUGGCGAAGGCGACUAACUGGACAAGUACUGACGCUGAGGUACGAAAGCGUGGGGAGCAAACAGGAUUAGAUACCCUGGUAGUCCACGCCGUAAACCGAUGAUAACUAGUUGUUCGGCCACUUGGUGACUGAGUGACGCAGCUAACGCAUUAAGUUAUCCGCCUGGGGAGUACGGUCGCAAGAUUAAAACUUAAAGGAAUUGACGG
This 562-nucleotide ribosomal RNA is filed under the name uncultured bacterium. Its description in RNAcentral is "bacterial SSU rRNA". It matches the Rfam family "Bacterial small subunit ribosomal RNA", at positions 338 to 916 of the family's 1533-position model. The record is from RNAcentral.